ACGUCAGUGGUUUAGUGGUAAAAUCCAUCGUUCCCAUCGAUGGGCCCCGCGUUCGAUCCGCGGCUGAUGUA
This 71-nucleotide transfer RNA is filed under the name Hypoxylon rubiginosum. Its description in RNAcentral is "tRNA-Gly". It matches the Rfam family "tRNA". From Rfam's summary of the family: Transfer RNA (tRNA) molecules are approximately 80 nucleotides in length. Their secondary structure includes four short double-helical elements and three loops (D, anti-codon, and T loops). Further hydrogen bonds mediate the characteristic L-shaped molecular structure. tRNAs have two regions of fundamental functional importance: the anti-codon, which is responsible for specific mRNA codon recognition, and the 3' end, to which the tRNAs corresponding amino acid is attached (by aminoacyl-tRNA synthetases). tRNAs cope with the degeneracy of the genetic code in two manners: having more than one tRNA (with a specific anti-codon) for a particular amino acid; and 'wobble' base-pairing, i.e. permitting non-standard base-pairing at the 3rd anti-codon position. Lineage: Eukaryota; Fungi; Ascomycota; Sordariomycetes; Xylariales; Hypoxylaceae. The record is from RNAcentral.